RNAcentral lists this ribosomal RNA (253 nucleotides) under uncultured bacterium. RNAcentral's name for it is "partial 16S ribosomal RNA". It matches the Rfam family "Bacterial small subunit ribosomal RNA", at positions 524 to 776 of the family's 1533-position model. The record is from RNAcentral.
UACGUAGGGGGCAAGCGUUGUUCGGAUUUACUGGGCGUAAAGCGUGUGUAGGCGGCCAUAUAAGUCGGAUGUGAAAGCCCUGGGCUCAACCCAGGAAGUGCACUCGAUACUGUAUGGCUUGAGUACUGGAGAGGUUGGUGGAAUUCUCGGUGUAGAGGUGAAAUUCGUAGAUAUCGAGAGGAACACCGGUGGCGAAGGCGGCCAACUGGACAGAUACUGACGCUGAGACACGAAAGCGUGGGGAGCAAACAGG